AUAAAUAACCUUUUUCUUUAUAUAUCUUGUCAAGUGAAAAAUUCAAAAUAAAAAUUAUGUCUAUAUAGCACAACAAUUUAUCUUCUAAAGCAAGUUAAGAAUACAUUUUUUUGUUGCAAAAAAGAUCAAGUUGAUUGGUUGGUGAUCUUACCAAUCAACAAAUCAAUCUAAAAUCAAAUUGAACUAAUUCAAACUUCAUGUUCUCUACCCUUGUACAUUGAGACAUUUUCAAAAAAAAAGUUUCUCUACCCCGAUGCAUUGAAAACUUUUUC
Molecule: long non-coding RNA, 272 nt
Filed under: Lathyrus oleraceus (garden pea)
Lineage: Eukaryota; Viridiplantae; Streptophyta; Magnoliopsida; Fabales; Fabaceae
Description: Pisum sativum (pea) long non-coding RNA (PSAT_LNC002686)
Source: RNAcentral